RNAcentral lists this long non-coding RNA (217 nucleotides) under Trifolium pratense (red clover). RNAcentral describes it as "long non-coding RNA (TPRA_LNC009489)". The record is from RNAcentral. Lineage: Eukaryota; Viridiplantae; Streptophyta; Magnoliopsida; Fabales; Fabaceae.
UUAAAGCCGUCAUGGCACUAUAAAACUCUGUUUUCGUCACCGGUUGAUCUCCCAUCUGAUCACGUUAGGAAAAGAACAGGAGAAACCUGCUCUGAUACCAACUGACGCAGUACGGAAGCGCUAGGUUAGCAAAACGAUAAACCUAAUGGAUAAAGACAAGCCGCAAACACAAACUUGUCAAAAUAGGAUUUCGCAGUCCACCGAAAGUUGAGAUAAA